This 497-nucleotide ribosomal RNA is filed under the name uncultured bacterium. RNAcentral's name for it is "partial 16S ribosomal RNA". It matches the Rfam family "Bacterial small subunit ribosomal RNA", at positions 28 to 507 of the family's 1533-position model. The record is from RNAcentral.
GAUGAACGCUGGCGGCGUGCCUAAUACAUGCAAGUCGAGCGAACAGACGAGGCGCUUGCUCCUCUGACGUUAGCGGCGGACGUGUGUGUAACACGUGUAUACCCUACCUAUAAUUCUGGGAUCACUUCGGGACACCGGAGCUAAUACCGGAUAAUCUCUUGAUCCACAUGGUUCAAUAGUGAAAUACGGUUUUUCUGUCACUUCUAGAUGGAUCCGCGCCUCAUUAGCUAGUUGGUAAGGUCACGGCUUACCAAGGCAACGAUGCGUAGCCGACCUGAGAGGGUGAUAGGCCACACUGGAACUGAGACACGGUCCAGACGCCUACGGGAGGCAGCAGUAGGGAAUCUUCCGCAAUGGGCGAAAGCCUGACGGAGCAACGCCGCGUGAGUGAUGAAGGUCUUCGGAUCGUAAAACUCUGUUAUUAGGGAAGAACAAAUGUGGAAGUAACUAUGCACGUCUUGACGGUACCUAAUCAGAAAGCCACGGCUAACUACGUG